Copidosoma floridanum is the source of this 312-nucleotide long non-coding RNA. RefSeq lists it as uncharacterized. The record is from RefSeq and is a predicted model, not a curated record. NCBI's taxonomy places the organism in Eukaryota, Metazoa, Arthropoda, Insecta, Hymenoptera, Encyrtidae.
AAUAGUAUAACACUAGUUCUAAUAUAAUAUUUUUUCCUGACGCCAUCAUGGGAUUCGUCGUGAAGAUUUGUCUACUUUUAACUCUUUUGAGUAUCUUCAUCUUGCAAGGAAAUGGUGCCCCACAAACUAUGCCAGAAUAUCAACCAAGACGCCUUUUCGAUACUGGAUUUCACGUUGGAUUAGGAUAACCACUGUUUCAAUAAUUCCAAGAAUAUCGUGUAUACUGUGUUAUAAUUUAAUUGUAUACGAUGAUUCAACAGCUCCUACGAGCUAGAAAAUGAAUAAAUAAAUAAUCAAAUUUGUAUCUUGCAA